This 305-nucleotide small nuclear RNA is filed under the name Peromyscus maniculatus bairdii (prairie deer mouse). RNAcentral's name for it is "7SK RNA (ENSPEMG00000003985.2)". It matches the Rfam family "7SK RNA". Rfam says of the family: 7SK was discovered as an abundant small nuclear RNA in the mid-70s but a possible function has only recently been suggested. Two independent studies have found that 7SK RNA binds the CDK9/cyclin T complex (known as elongation factor P-TEFb). P-TEFb activates transcription by phosphorylating the C-terminal domain of RNA polymerase II. The record is from RNAcentral. Lineage: Eukaryota; Metazoa; Chordata; Mammalia; Rodentia; Cricetidae.
GGACCGGAAGAGGGGCUGUGAUAGCUGUCACCCCGCUGGUGGCCAGGGUUGAUCUGGCUGACCCGGCUGACUAGACAGGCAUUCUCUUCCUCCUUAUUGUUUCAAGUGCAUCCCUCUUGAAGCUGUGUGUACAGUGGUAGAGGAUAACCUUCCCCAAAUAGAGGAGUGCCAGUCUUGGGGUGAAAGAGGUAAGAGUCCAUGUGCUUUCUGGUGAGAACCCCCAAACAAGCUCUCAAGGUCCAGGGUAGGGUGCAGGCCGUCUGAACAUAAGCAGACUGAAAGGCUCCACUAACAGGCCGUCAUGG